RNAcentral lists this unclassified non-coding RNA (289 nucleotides) under uncultured fungus. Its description in RNAcentral is "partial contains 5.8S rRNA, ITS2 and 28S rRNA". It matches the Rfam family "Eukaryotic large subunit ribosomal RNA", at positions 668 to 961 of the family's 3401-position model. Lineage: Eukaryota; Fungi. The record is from RNAcentral.
AAGGAGUCUAACAUAUCUGCGAGUAUUUGGGUGUUAAACCCGAGUGCAUAAUGAAAGUGAACGUAGGAGCCACGCGCAAGGUGCACCUUCGACCGAUCUGGAUCUUUAGAGAUGGAUUUGAGUAAGAGCAUAUAUGUUGGGACCCGAAAGAUGGUGAACUAUGCCUGAAUAGGGCGAAGCCAGAGGAAACUCUGGUGGAGGCUCGUAGCGAUUCUGACGUGCAAAUCGAUCGUCAAAUUUGGGUAUAGGGGCGAAAGACUAAUCGAACCAUCUAGUAGCUGGUUCCUGC